GGACUACUGGGGUAUCUAAUCCCGUUCGCUACCCUAGCUUUCGUGCCUCAGCGUCAGAAGAGACCCAGUGAGCCGCUUUCGCCACGGGUGUUCCUUAGGAUAUCAACGCAUUUCACCGCUCCACCCUAAGUUCCGCUCACCUCUGUCUCCCUCGAGCACGGUAGUUUUGGGCGCAGUUCCUCGGUUGAGCCGAGGGAUUUCACACCCAACUUUCCGCGCAGCCUACGCACCCUUUAAGCCCAGUGAUUCCGAAUAACGUUCGUACGGUUCGUCUUACCGCGGCUGCUGGCAC
Molecule: ribosomal RNA, 292 nt
Filed under: uncultured Planctomycetota bacterium
Lineage: Bacteria; Pseudomonadati; Planctomycetota
Description: uncultured planctomycete partial 16S ribosomal RNA
Source: RNAcentral